Ictalurus punctatus (channel catfish) is the source of this 1431-nucleotide long non-coding RNA. Lineage: Eukaryota; Metazoa; Chordata; Actinopteri; Siluriformes; Ictaluridae. The record is from Ensembl.
GGCGUAGAUUCAUUUUGCAUCGCUAUGGAUUCAUUUUAUACAGGCGUGGACUCAUUUUCUAUAGGUGUGGAUUCAUUUUGUAUAUGCGUUAAUUUGUUUUCUAAAGGCAUAGAUAGAUAUUCUAUAGGCAUUGAUUCAUUUUCUAUAGGUGUGGAUUUGUUUUCUAUAGGCAUUGUUUCAUUUUCUAUAGGCGUGAUUUGUUUUCUAUAGGCACUGAAUCAUUUUCUAUAGGCGUGGAGUCAUUUUCUAUAGGCAUUGAUUCAUUAUCUACAGGCGUGGAUUUGUUUUCUAAAGGCAUUGAUUCAUUUUCUACAGGCGUGGAUUCAUUUUGUAUAUGCAUUAGAUUGUUUUCUAAAGUCAUAUAUUAAUAUUCUAUAGGCACUGAUUCAUUUUCUAAAGGCGUGGAGUCAUUUUCUAGAGGCACUGAUUCAUUUUCUAUAGGUGUGGAGUCAUUUUAUAGAGGCACUGAUUCAUUUUCUGUAGGCGUUGAUUUCAUUUCUAUAGGCAUUGAUUCAUUUUCUACAGGCGUGGAUUCAUUUUGUAUAGGCAUUGAUUCGUUUUCUAUAGGCGUGGAGUCAUUUUCUAUAUGCAUUGAUUCAUUAUCUACAGGCGUGGAUUUGUUUUCUAAAGGCACUGAUUCAUUUUCUAUAGGCGUGGAGUCAUUUUCUAGAGGCACUGAUUCAUUUUCUAUAGGCGUGGAGUCAUUUUAUAGAGGCACUGAUUCAUUUUCUGUAGGCGUGGAUUUCAUUUCUAUAGGCACUGAUUCAUUUUCUACAGGCGUGGAUUCAUUUUCUAUAGGCACUGAUUCAUUUUCUAUAGGCGUGGAUUCAUUUUCUAUAGGCGUGGAUUUGUUUUCUAAUGUAUUCAAUUUAAUAGGUUAUUGUUUCAUUAGUACCAGCACAUUCCCAGGAACUUGUAUGGCAGAUGAUCCACAUAAUCUAAAAAAAACUGAUUUAAAAAAAAAGUGUGGUUAAUUAAGGAAGAAAAACACAUAGUUGUUUGUUAUUGUAAAUCUUUUUGUUUUUCUGUUAGGAGAUUCAUUAUAGAAGGAGUCUCCAGUGUCAGUGAACUUCACAUCUUAUCAGACUUCCUCAUGUUACAACUUUAGGUUCUAAGUAGCAUCAAGUGACCACAGUUUAUGGCUUGAAGAGCUAAGAAAAGCAGAAAAGUCACUAAUACUUUCCAUACUUUAAAACAGAAUUUAAAAUUAGGGACUAAUUAGGGACUAAAUCGUGCUAAACGGCAUUCAACAAGUUCAACUGUGUCCCAUAUUCUAAAGUCAAGAUCAAUUAUAAUAUGUUGUUCAAUUGAUACCUAGAACUAAAGGUACAAUUACGUCUAAUAGAAUGUAAAUUUAGAUUAUUAUUUCAUGCUCAAUAGUUUGUAUAAUAAUGUUGUUGUUUUUUUAAGUGUGAAUAAAGUCUUACCAGA